This 250-nucleotide ribosomal RNA is filed under the name uncultured bacterium. RNAcentral's name for it is "partial 16S ribosomal RNA". It matches the Rfam family "Bacterial small subunit ribosomal RNA", at positions 29 to 308 of the family's 1533-position model. The record is from RNAcentral.
AGUGAACGCUGGCGGCAGGCUUAACACAUGCAAGUCGAACGCACCGCAAGGUGAGUGGCAGACGGGUGAGUAACGCGUGGGAACCUUCCCUUUGGUUCAGGAUAGCUCCGGGAAACUGGAAUUAAUACUGGAUAAGAUCUACGGAUGAAAGAUUUAUCGCCGAAGGAUGGGCCCGCGUAAGAUUAGCUAGUUGGUGAGGUAAUGGCUCACCAAGGCAAUGAUCUUUAGCUGGUCUGAGAGGAUGAUCAGC